UAAUGAUGGUGAGGGUAAUUUCUAUGCAUGCCCUUAAAUCUUUCCCAAGCUUGGUAAAGAUUUUCUCCUUCUUUCUGCCUGAAACUCAGAAUCUCACUUCUUAAAUA
Small nucleolar RNA from Capsicum annuum, 107 nucleotides. NCBI's taxonomy places the organism in Eukaryota, Viridiplantae, Streptophyta, Magnoliopsida, Solanales, Solanaceae. The record is from RefSeq and is a predicted model, not a curated record.